RNAcentral lists this long non-coding RNA (529 nucleotides) under Danio rerio (zebrafish). Its description in RNAcentral is "si:ch211-145c23.5 (ENSDARG00000097822.2)". The record is from RNAcentral. Lineage: Eukaryota; Metazoa; Chordata; Actinopteri; Cypriniformes; Danionidae.
AAAUUAUAUAAAAAUACAAAGCAGUCAUUACAGGAUCCUGGAGUCUGUCCUUCCAGUGGAGAAGAGCGGCAUAACAGAACGCAGAUGAGAAUUUGACGGUGCUCCUUCGACCGAGUGAAGCACAGAUGAUGGAAAAGAGACCAUGCCGUGCAGAUGUGGGCUGACGUCCCCCAGUGUCUCCAUCCCCCCCGGCAGGUCCUGGUUUGUGUGAUUGACAAUGGUGGAGGAGUCCAGCAGCAAAGGGUUUCUGACCUGCAAACACUUCUCACGACACACAUGCGGUUGUGUGUGACGUUCAUGUGUUUCUCCAGGUACCAGCGGUUAUUGAACGUCUUCGGGCACCUCAGACAGCUGAAGCUCUCAAAACCGUCCUGAUCCAGACGUUCCUCGCUAGGAUCACGAUCCGUCUCUUGCCUUGCUCUCGCACAGCUCCUCUUGGAGACCAGUGGAGCAGAGGCCCGGCUCUUCAUUUCCGACAAAAAAACAGACUCGCCUUCAUCCUCGCUAGUGCCUUCAAGUCUCACAUCAU